UAGGAAGUGGUGUAGUGGAAGCACAAAGAGUUUUGAUCUCUUUGGAUUGGGUUCAAGCCCCUUCUUCCUAA
Molecule: transfer RNA, 71 nt
Filed under: Taenioides cirratus (bearded worm goby)
Lineage: Eukaryota; Metazoa; Chordata; Actinopteri; Gobiiformes; Gobiidae
Also listed under: 1 other name
Description: tRNA-Gln
Rfam family: tRNA
About the family: Transfer RNA (tRNA) molecules are approximately 80 nucleotides in length. Their secondary structure includes four short double-helical elements and three loops (D, anti-codon, and T loops).
Source: RNAcentral